Molecule: long non-coding RNA, 632 nt
Organism: Venturia canescens
Lineage: Eukaryota; Metazoa; Arthropoda; Insecta; Hymenoptera; Ichneumonidae
Exons: 3
Source: RefSeq, a predicted model, not a curated record
ACCUCUCGAGAAUACGAGAAAAAGGAACGCGAUCCAAGAGAGCAAUCCAUAUAGAGAGUAUGAGAAAGGGCAAGAGCAUCGUGUGUGAUGCCGCACGGAGCGGAGUACCAGUCGGAAGGAGCACCCGGAAAAUAAAUCAAGGCCGUCGAGACCCCCGUUGAAGCUAAAGAAAUGUGCCACGUGCGUGCAUGUGCAUGUGUGUGUCACUGCGUUGCAUCCUCUUUUAGAGAAUUCUUUGUCCGAACAAUCGUUUCAAAUGUUACAGAGAAAAGUUUCGUUAUAAUCGACAAGAGUGAAAAAUAUUGGAAUUUUUAAAAACCACAGAGCGAAGGCAAUCCUCUUUCCCUCAGCGCUUUUUUGGUCUUCGAUUUUUUAACAUUCUCCAAAACAAAUCAACGUGCGAAAUGGCACGUCGCUCUACCACCUGGGGACCUGGGAUUCGUUCCAACAGUGGUUUUCCACCGCACAUUGCUAUAUACAACGUGAGACUGGUACACUCGCGAAUAAAAGUUUGUCAAGCGUCGAAUAUUCAAUUUCGAAUAUCCAUUCGAGCCAAACAAUCCCGCGACGUUUCACAACGACGCUUUAAACCUGAUUCGAACGACUCGUUAAUCGGAAUUUAACGAAAAAUU